This 246-nucleotide ribosomal RNA is filed under the name uncultured bacterium. Its description in RNAcentral is "partial 16S ribosomal RNA". It matches the Rfam family "Bacterial small subunit ribosomal RNA", at positions 79 to 339 of the family's 1533-position model. The record is from RNAcentral.
UCGAAGCUAGUGUGAGGGAGCGGCGAACGGGUGAGUAACACGUUGGUACGUGCCCCAAACUCAGGGAUAGCCCACUGAAAAGUGGAUUAAUACCGGAUAGUCCCGAAAGGGUAAAGAUUUUUCGGUUUGGGAGCGGCCUGCGGUCUAUCAGCUUGUUGGUAAGGUAAAAGCUUACCAAGGCUAUGACGGAUAUCUGGUGUGAGAGCAUGACCAGACACAAUGGAACUGAGACACGGUCCAUACUCC